Molecule: ribosomal RNA, 204 nt
Filed under: Triticum aestivum (bread wheat)
Lineage: Eukaryota; Viridiplantae; Streptophyta; Magnoliopsida; Poales; Poaceae
Description: partial small subunit ribosomal RNA
Source: RNAcentral
AUGGCGGCGCCCAACCGGAGAGGCAGCAGCGGCCGGAAGAAGAUCGUCAUCCGCCGGAUCGAGCAGGAGGAUGCCCGGUUCGUCUGCUACUCCAAGCGCCGCCAGGGGUUCUUCAGCAAGGCCACGGAUCUGGCGGUCCUGACAGGCGCCCACGUGGCCGCCCUCGCCUUCUCUCCCCGCGGCAGGGCCUUCUCCUUCGGCCAC